CCCGCUCUGCCCACUUUCAAAAACUCUCUUCGGAAACCUAUGGGUGACGUCACGGACACUACAUCCAUGUUUUUAUACAGUCUAUGGUGGACACCGAUUGUGUAAAUUAAGAAUCGGAUUACUAACAUAUCCCUAAAAUAAGUGACACAAACAGGACUAAAUUUGACAGUUGGCCACAUGCGGCAGCCUCUUCUCUCUCCCAGCCUUCGUCUCUGACUGUCUCCCAAGAGCUCCGUCAGUAUGACGAGGCCCGAGGAUGCCUUCUCAUCUUCUCUCAGCCGGUGUCAAGCAGCAAUCCUGCGGGGCCCGUCCCUGCUUAAUUCGGCUUAGAGGCCCUCUCUCGUCCCCCACAUUCCUGAUCGCCUCAUUUUUCCGGGUAUGCCUCUCAGGGCUGAGGUGAUUAUUUCCAGAAUAAUAAUAAUAGAGAGAUUAGUGUGUUUAGCAGGCAGAUGUAUUGCUCUGUUCCAUUGCCUUACUUAUAUUUGCCUCUGAACUGAGUGACCUAUUAUAAUAGAUUAAUUCUGCUAUAAAAAAUGAAAGCGCUUAAUGACCCCUGUCUCUUGACGGAGAGGUGUGAAACCCGCCUGAGGAAGAUUUCUUCAGACAUUCCCUGAUCUAUCAAACUCUACGCUGGACACCAGAAGCAGCAGGUGUUGAAGUCUUCAUUCGUUUCUGUCUUGGUUAUUGAUGACCUGGCUCUAUGAAAUUACUCAAAUGGUGGAUGGCCAUGACCAGGAACCAGGAAAAAGGUAAAUGGGAAGGGUGGAAUGAAAAAUUGCAAAAUGAAGAAAACUGUAUUAUUAUUUAUUAAAAGUUCUGUUACAUGCGG
Carassius carassius (crucian carp) is the source of this 829-nucleotide long non-coding RNA. RefSeq lists it as uncharacterized. The transcript is spliced from 2 exons. NCBI's taxonomy places the organism in Eukaryota, Metazoa, Chordata, Actinopteri, Cypriniformes, Cyprinidae. The record is from RefSeq and is a predicted model, not a curated record.